GUUGAAACACCUGUCCCCCCCCCGUACGAUCACCGAAGUUAAGCAACUUCAAGCCUGGUCACUAGCUUUAUGGGUGACCGCUUGGGAAUACCAGGUGCUGUAAG
Molecule: non-coding RNA, 104 nt
Organism: Acanthosepion pharaonis
Lineage: Eukaryota; Metazoa; Mollusca; Cephalopoda; Sepiida; Sepiidae
Source: the annotation of a GenBank genome assembly